This is a non-coding RNA of Curvibacter sp. GWA2_63_95, 117 nucleotides long. The record is from Rfam. NCBI's taxonomy places the organism in Bacteria, Pseudomonadati, Pseudomonadota, Betaproteobacteria, Burkholderiales, Comamonadaceae.
CGCGUUUUUCGCCCAGGCGGAGCUCGACCGCCGUUUGAAGAGUUGAAGGCUUACAUCGACCAGCACCGUGACACCUACGGGGUCGAGCCGAUCUGCAAGGUUUUGCAGAUUGCCCCG